ACCGAAUAGAUACCCCGGUAGUCCACGCCGUAAACUAUGAACGCUAGCCCGUUGGCGAGCUUGCUCGUCAGUGGCGCAGCUAACGCAUUAAGCGUUCCGCCUGGGGAGUACGGCCGCAAGGUUGAAACUCAAAGAAAUUGACGGGGGCCCGCACAAGCGGUGGAGCAUGUGGUUUAAUUCGACGCAACGCGCAGAACCUUACCAGGGUUUGACAUCCCGAGACCGCUGCUGAAAGGCAGUUUCCCGCAAGGGCUCGGAGACAGGUGCUGCAUGGCUGUCGUCAGCUCGUGUCGUGAGAUGUUGGGUUAAGUCCCGCAACGAGCGCAACCCUCGCCUUUAGUUGCCAUCAUUAAGUUGGGCACUCUAGAGGGACCGCCGGCGACAAGCCGGAGGAAGGU
This 398-nucleotide ribosomal RNA is filed under the name uncultured bacterium. RNAcentral's name for it is "bacterial SSU rRNA". It matches the Rfam family "Bacterial small subunit ribosomal RNA", at positions 772 to 1174 of the family's 1533-position model. The record is from RNAcentral.